RNAcentral lists this long non-coding RNA (9825 nucleotides) under Populus tremula. RNAcentral describes it as "long non-coding RNA (PTRE_LNC001646)". Lineage: Eukaryota; Viridiplantae; Streptophyta; Magnoliopsida; Malpighiales; Salicaceae. The record is from RNAcentral.
GUUGCUUAACCUUGCUAGAUGAUAGGUUAAUUUCAACAAGGUUCUGUGGACGAAAAUUGCGAGGCAAAGAUGUCAAAGGGUAUCCAUCCCAAUGGAGAUACCUCAACUCUUCAGAAAGAGACUCGAGGCCAUGAGGAAGGUGCACUCUGCAUUUAACUCCAGCUUCAGAAUUAUAAAUUUUUAGCAGUCUAAGUCUAUACAUCCUUGCCAAGGCUGUAGAACUCAACUCAAUUUCUCUUAUUUUUGAAACAUCCAAGAAUAUCCCUUCAACUUUUCCAGUUCCCUGAAAACCAGUGAAGGUGAAACAAAGUUUAAGUAAGAUUUUAAACUUACUAGUACAACCAUAUUGCAUUGCAUAUGAAAAGGAAAACUUUCGUGUAUAUGAAUCUCACCAGAUUAUUGGUCAACACUUGAUAUACAUCUUUAGGACUCCACAAUCUGCUUUGUCUUCCUAGCUCGUCAAGAGAUUCUUUUCGAACAACUUCAUGGGCCAUUUCUUGCAAAAGAUCAUGCAUUUCAACCUUGUCAUCUGAAAUUUUAAUGAGACACCUGUCAAUGAGAACACUAAAUCCAAUAUCUGUUUUGAAACCGCAGCCAUCUAGUAUCCGCUUUACAAAAUCAACUCGAUGCCCUCUAAAGAAACAUGCAAUGUCGAGAAAUAUACUCUUCGUGUUAUUAUCACGUAGUGCAUCAAAGCCUAUUCUCAGCAAGUCAUAAAUAUUCAGCUCAGGAAAGCUUUCAAUCUCAUUUAAUUGAGAUUCCCAAAAAUGUCUCCCUUUGUCAAAUAAGAAGGAACCCAAAACUUGAAGAGCUAAUGGGUUCCCUUUGGCAUAAUUUAUUGCCGUGAUUGACAACUCCAUAUAAGCUUCUGGGGGUGGUUUCUCUUAAAAGCAUUCAAGCUAAAGAGUUGAAGAGCUUCGUGGAAGUUUAAUUCCUCAACCUCGUAUAUUUCAUCAACUACAUUCUUAAGUACUUGCCUGUCUCUUGAUGUCACAACAACAACGCUGCCUUCACCAAACGAACGCUCUUCAAUUAAAUGCUGGAAUUGUCGUACAUCAUUCACAUCAUCCAAAACAAGGAGAACUUUCUUUUGGCAGAGUCUAUCCCUAAUGAAAGUAGGUCCUAUAUGUGGUGUGCCAACGCGAAGAUUUUCUUCCUCCAGUAGUUUAGAAAGAAGUUCAUCUCGUAGAUCACUUAAUCGACCCUUUUCUGAUUCCUGCCUUAUGUUCGGAACAAAGUGGCAGCCUUCAUACUGACUUGAGAUGCUAUAGAAGAAAGCUUCCGCAAUAGUUGUCUUGCCUAUACCACCCAUGCCCCAAAUUCCUAUAAUGCGGACAUCUGAUGACACAAUGGAUAGUAAUUUGUUGAUUUUCUCAAUGCGUGAAUCUACUCCAACCAGACCUCUUAAUUUCCAUGGGGAAGCACGACUUAACCUGUUACAGAUAGUUUGCACAACUUCUCUUAUGAGUUUGGCCUCCGGUCUGUAAAAAAUGAAAGAAGCAUCUUUAACUCAAAUUGUAUCUUUACGUCGAAUAAAAAAUCUAUAAGAAACUGUUGAUGGAAGUUAGUUUUCCACUAAAAAACAGAACAGACUUGUGCCUUUCCAAGCAAAAAUGAUUUACAGGAGAGGAAAAAAAACUAUAAUAUGCACAAGAAAAUUUAAUUGCCAUAAAUAACUUUUAAUUGCUAUAAUUCCAGGAAAAAAAAGGUUGAAGAAGAGAAUCUAUAGUUACUAAUAUAUAGUUACCUAAUAACCUGUGAAUCCCAUCCAGAUAUACUGGCUGCGUAUGUCAAGUCAGCCCUCCACCUUGGUACCUUGUCCAUCUUCCCCUUAAAAUUUUUUUCAAGCUCAGCAAAUGCAUUUCCAAAACUCCCAGUCUGUUCAUCAACGUCAGAUGGGUCUACAUGAUAGAAGACCGGUAAAACAAUCUGCCCAUGAGUCUCUUUGCAUUCAAGUAUUUUCACCAGUUCAUCCAAACACCACGGAGAAGAUGCAUAGUUCUCGGAGAAAAUUACUACAGAAAUUCUUGAUUCUUCAAUCGUUUUCAGAAGGGCAGGGGUAAUUUCUUCUCCUCUUUCAAGCCCGUCAUCAAUGAAGGUCUUGAUUUUCUUACGACGCAUAGCUUCAUAGAGAUGGCUGGUAAAAUUAUUGCGCGUAUCCUUGCCUCUAAAACUAAGGAACACAUCAUACUUCCUUUUACGACCAACAGCAGAUGAAGAUGCCAUAUCAGACAGUUACAAGAUCGUGUCUUCCUCAAUCACUAAGAAUCGAAAUCAAUAAGUUCUCUCCUUUUUCUCCUAAAGACAUACAAAGAGCACCCACUUCAACAGCUGAACAUUCAUUAAGAGAAAUUGAAGUCUAAGAGUGCAACAACCCACACAGCAUAUAUUUUUUAGAAAAUUCCUCAACCUCUUAACGAUGGAUAUGAUCUAGCUUAAUUUGGUCACUCGUCACUUGCUACCAAUGCUAGCUUGCUAGUACUUUCUUUGCAAGGACAGUCACUAGCUGAGCAAAAAGAAUUACAGACGGAAGAAUUACUAUGUUCAUGAAACAAACGUAUCAAACUCAUAUAGUGUUAAUGUUGCUGUCAUGUAACAAUUAAUAUAGUUGCUGAAAAGAAGGAAAAAAAAGAGAGAGCAUGGAUUCAGUAGCAACAAUGGCAAAGGUUACUUCUCUAUGGAGUUUAUGAGGUAACUUUAAUGAUCAAAUUGCAGCAAUCGGAAAGGUUAGCUGAUGAGUAAAGUACUGAGGACUGAAGCUUAGCAGAGUACAGGGUGUAACGUUGUUUUUCAAAUAAUUUUUUAUGCUGAAAUAUAUGUUAAUGAUUUUUUUUAUUUUAUAAAAAUUAUUUUUAACAUCACCUCAUCAAAACGAUCUAAAAAAUAUAAACUAUAUUAAAUUUUAAUAAAAAAAAAAACUUUUAAAUUUUAUAAAAACACAAGUUGAACCGCAUUUUCAAACACUGCUGUAGCGAUGUUAUAUUUGUCAAAGUUAAAAGUUUAGCAGGGUAUUCAGUGGUAAUUUCGCGGUAAUUUCCUUAGCCGCAUCAGAAUCAAAUGGCAUGAUUUUCCACUCACAUUGGCUGGCCCUCACACUCCCUCCAUCUCUCAGGGGACCUUGCUUCCUUUUUAAAAAUAAAAAGUAAAAAGUAAAGGGAUGAUAUGUUGCAGAUCUUCUUCUGUUCUGUUCUGUUCUGUUCUUUUCUUUUCUUUAAUAUAAUGGACUAUGUGUAAUCCACUAGAAUAAUGGAUGGGCGAUAAAAGGCAGAAAUUAUGGUGGAGACUUUUCUUAUUGGAUGGAAAGAAAAGUUAAGUACCUCGCAGCUUAGAAAGAUACUACUGGAUUAUCAAUACGUGGACAGUUCGGUGACAUUGUAGCCAUUAGAAUGUGUAGCAAUACCCAUCCAUGCUUUGAUUAUUGUUUAAUAAUAUAUUAAUUAUCUUCGCACGGCAGGUUAUAUGGUGUUUUUAUUUUUUAAAGAAAACAAAUCUAAAAUGUUGAGAUGUAAUAUCAUCUACUAUUAAAAAUAUCAUUUAUGUCUACAUUUGUAUUUGUGAGAUGCAAAUAUCAUUUACUAUUAAAAAAAUACUAUACUCAAUCUUGAUUAAAGGAUUGAUGUGUAAAAAUUUCAUUUACUAUUAAAAAAUUAUAGUAUCAUUUGUAUUUGUGAGAUGCAAAUAUCAUUUUUUUUUAUUAUUAUUAUUAAGUGAGAUUUCACUUUUUCUGUAUAGUUUCAGAAACGAUUCUUUACAUGUCAAGAUAUUAUUGUUGAUAUUGUUUAUAACUUUUACAUAAUAAGUUGAGCGCGUGAAAACUCAAUCAACAAAAAUUAUAAAAUUAUUACAUGAUUGUUAUUAUAAUUAAAUUAAUGUUUAAAAAACUUUAACGGUUGAAAUAUUACAACUUACAAAUGAAACCAUUUUUUUUUUAUUUCUACUUAGAGUUAAUGCACUGUUUCAAUCAUAGUUAUUCAAUCUAAACCAACCUGACGAGUCAAUCUAAUAAUUAAAACAAUCUAAGUAAGACAAAAAAUUAGAAUGAAUAAAAACUCAAUUGACCUGUGGUUUGGGUGACCUCACAAAACACGAUUGAGAUUUUUUUUUUCUUAAAUGGUAUUAAUUUGUUCUUGAAAUCUCACAAUUUUAUUAACAUACUUUUUAGGAGUCAACAAGCAUUAUUUUUAAUAGAGUAACGGGCAAGAUUGAUGUGUGUGUGUAUACACACACAUAUAUAUCUCUCCAUCCAUAUAUUGCAAAUAAAUUAAAAAAUUUAUGAGGACAAAAAAUGACUUGUAUUUAGUUGUAUUUCCACCAUGCCCUUCAUUUUUUUAAAAAAAAGAGUGGUAUACAUGUAAUAAAAAUUAAUAAUUUAUAUUCAAAUAGAUUUUUUUUUAAUUUUUUUAUAUGAAAUAUUAAAACUUUAAUUAAAAAAAAUGAGUUAAUUUGGGUUGAUCAACCUAUAUAACCUGAGACCAGACUCCUUGGCAAGGUCAACCCCCGGGUCGGAUAACUAUUGUUUCAACCCGCGAGAGAAGUCAUUUGCAUCUCCUCUAAAAACGAGAUUAAAAGAUCUAAAACCCUAUGGAAAAACACUUUAUCUCCGGACCCAUGAGUAUUAUUCAUUGGAAUACUACAAAGAUGAUUUUCACCCUCUACCAGAAAAAUUUAGCAAUGGCUUCCAAAAGAUUUGAAGUUUUUCUGCAUCACCCCUUUGUUAUAUUUUAAAUUUAUUAGGGAAAAAAAAUUUUGUUCUCAUAUUAAUUGCACAGUAAAAUAACUAAAAUAUCAUUAAAAGUAAAAAAAUCUAAACCUGACGCAAAAGAGGUAUUUUCAUAUUUUUAAAAUGGAUUUUUUCUUUAUUAUAAUUUAAGCUAAGAGGCAAUUUAUCAUCUGAUCAAAUAUAAAAGAUAAUAAACAAUUAAAAUACAUGGUAAAAUAAAUAAAAUACCUUUAAAUAAAAACAUUUAAUCACGAAGACAAGGGGUGUUCUAGUUUUAACUAUCGUAGCAACAACAAUAAUAAUAUAUUAAAGUUUUCUACUGUAAAACCCAAGUGUCAUUAAUUAUGACUUCUCUUUUGUUCAUCUAAUUCUCCGGGGAAAAACAUAGCCAAAAUAAUCAUCACGUCUCAUGCCUUGUAACCUUUCUCUCUUGACUUGGAACAUUGCUUUCAGUUCAUCUCGAUCCUGAGGAUGAAAACAAGAGUCGUCUUGCAUGCUGAAAUCAAAGUGAUGCAUCUCAUUGGCAUGCAGUAGAUGGACCCCACACUCAAUCACUUGACAAAAAUCUAAUAGUAAUAGAGUGCCGUUCAUAUCUUCCGGCUGGAAUUCAACUGAUACCUCGCUGUAUUUACUAAACGUAUCCUUUUCUUUAGCAACCAAACAGGGAUCCAAUCCCACGAAUAUAUGUGGUGCGUCGUCGCCCUUGUCAUCAAACCAACCAUUGAGAUAGCAAUAGAGAUCACGACUAUCACCGUCAUUAUUGCGGAAGUGAUAUGUGCAUUUAACUUGCAACUCAGAGUUGAAAUGAUAAGAUGCAAUGACAGCGCAAAGAGAGAAACCCAAGAACUCGCUAUUAGCCCACUGUGAAGAUAACUGGAAUGUUACUGUAGAUCCCCACCUUUGAUGGCUAAACCACUCCGGAGUUACAUCUCCAGGGAGGUAGAAACUAGGUGGCCUAGGGCAGAAACUAGAUGGCCUAGCUGGAACAUCGGGCAGCUGUUAUCACAAUUCAAAUAGCAUCUUUUUAAAAUGAGACGAAGGAAAUAGAAAAGUAUAUCAGAGGUUUAAGAAACAAACCUGAAGGUCCGCCAAGAAUUUAUAGGUCCUACGCAUGAUAGAAUAAUCCUCCCGUCUAUUGACUUCGAGCCUUGCUCUCUUGGCUUGGAACAUUGCUUCCAAUCCAUCUUGAUCCUGAGGAUAAAAAUAAUAGUAUCUCUGCAUGAUGAUAUGAAAGCGAUCUAUGUCAUUGGCAUGCAGUAGGCGGACCCCACACUCAAUCACUUGACAAAGAUCUAAUGGUAAGAGAUUGCCGUUCUUAUCUUCCAGUUGGAAUUCAACUGAGACCUCGCUGUAUUUAAUAAACGUAUCCUUUUUUUUUGCAACCAAACAAGGAUCCAAUCCCACAAAUAUGUGUGUUGGGUCGUUGGCCUUGUCAUUAAACCGACCAUCGAGAUAGCAAUCGAGGUCACGGCUAUCACCAUGCUUAUUGCGGAAGUGAUAUAUGCAUUUAACAUGCAAACUAUGGCCAACAGAACGAAAUACAAUGACAGCACAAAGAGAGAAACCCAAGAACUCGCUAUUUGCCCAAUUUGAAGAUAGCUGGAACGUUACUGUAGAUCCCCAACUUUGAUGGCUAAACCACUCCGGAGUCGCAUCUCCAGGGAGGCAAAAACUAGAUGGCUUGGCUACAAAAGGCAACUGUUACACAAUUCAAAUAGCAUCUUUUUAAAAUGAGAUGAAAAAAAGAAAAAAUUAUAUCAAAGGUUUAAGAAACAGACCUGAAGGUUUGCCAAGAAUUUAUAGGUCCUACGCAUGACAGAAUAAUCCUCCCAUCUUAAACAGACCUGAAGGCUCGCCAAGAAUUUAUAGGUCCUACGCAUGACAGAAUAAUCCUCCCAUCUAUCUGCUUGGAACCUUGCUCUCUUGGCUUGGAACCUUACUUCCAAUUCAUCUCGAUCUAGAGGAUAAAAACGAGAGGAGUCUGACAUUAUCAAAUGAAAGCGUUGUAUCUUAUCUUCAUCAUUGGCAUGCAGUAGACGGAGCCCAAAUGCCCCACCGUCAUACAGUAGAUGGACCCCACACUCAACCACGUGACAACUACGAAAUAAAUUGUUUUCCAGGUGGAAUUCAACUGAGACCUCGUUAUAUUCACUAAACGUGUCCUUUUCUUUGGCAGCUACACAGGGAUCAAAUCCCAUGAAUAUGUUCAUGUGCUUCUGAUCAUAACAACCAUGGAGAUAGCAAUCAAGGUCACGACUAUCACCAUGCUUAUUGCGGAAGUGAUAUGUGCAUUUAACAUGCAAACGAGGGGCAUAACCAACUACAAUGACUGCGCAAAGAGAGAAACCCAAGAACUCGCUAUUAGCCCAAUUUGAAGAUAACUGGAAUGUUACUGUAGAUCCCCAACUUUGAUGGCUAAACCACUCCGGAAUCACAUCUCCAGGGAGGCAGAAACUAGAUGGCUUGGCUACAACAUCAGGCAGCUGUUACACAAUUCAAAUAGCAUCUUUUUAAAAUAAGAUGAAGAAAAGAAAAAAUUAUAUCGAAGGUUUAAAGAAACAGACCUGAAGGUCCGCCAAGAAUUCAUAGGUCCUACGCAUGACAAAAUAAUCCUCCCAUCUCAUGCCUUGGAACCUUGCUCUCUUGGCUUGGAACAUUGUUUUCAAUUCAUCACCAUUCACAGGAUAAAAACAAAAAUAGCCUGACGUGAUCAAAUCAAAGCGAUGUAUCCCAUCUUCAUACAGUAGACGGACCCCACACUCGUGUACUUGACAAAGAUCUAAUGGUAAGAGAUUUCCGUUCAUAAAUUCCGGUUGGAACUCAACAGAGACCUCACUGUAUUCACUAAACAUAUAAUCUUCUUUAGCAACCACACAGGGAUCAAACCCCACCAAUAUAUGUGCUGAGUCGAUGCGCUUGUCAUCAUACCAACCAUGGAGAUAGCAAUCGAGGUCACGACUAUCACCAUGCUUAUUACGGAAGUGAUAUGUGCAUUUAACUUGCAAACUAUGGCCGACAGAACCAAAUGCAAUGACAGCGCAAAGAGAGAAACCCAAGAACUGGCUAUUAGCCCAAUGUGAAGAUAGCUGGAAUGUUACUGUAGAUCCCCAACUUUGAUGGCUAAACCACUCCGGAGUCACAUCUGCAGGGAGGCAGAAACUACAUGCCCCUUCUGGAACAUCAGGCAGCUGUAAACACAACUCAAAUAGCAUCUUUUUUAAAUGAAAGGUGGCAAAUAAAGAAAAAAAGAUGUAUAUCAGAGGUUUGAGAAACAAACCUGAUGGUAUAACCUUUUGGUGUAAAGUUGAAAUUUCAAUAAUGAGUAAGCCAAGAUUUGAUUGAACCAACGCGAUCUCGAGCAAUUAGUGAAAAUGAAUUCAAAAAUGUUCCCCUCAACUGCAGUUGAUGAGCUGUGGUGGAAGCCCUGGUAAUGAUUCAAACUCUCGCAAUUGUCUGCAUCCAACUUUGAUAGCCGUGGUGGAAGCUCCGGUAAUGAUUCAAGGCUCUUGCAAUUCCUUAAUCCUAGAUAUUGCAACUCCAAGAGUUUAUUGAUGCUUAUAGGUAUAGUCUUAAAUUUGUUUCCACUUAGAUCUAACACUUCCAGUGACGAUAAAAGACCAAGACUGUCCGGCACUUCCAUAGACUGCAACCAUCUAGAUUUAGCUUACGCAAACAAUCUAAAUCCACGCAUCUCUGGCAAUUGCAAGUCAAAAACAUUCGAUGUUUUAGAUAUUUGCAGUUUCCCACUUCCAAGCAGGCAAGUCCCUUCAGAUUUCAAUCGGUGAAGGCAACUUUGUUAUGCGUGUCUCUUCUAGAUAGAGAUAUCUCAAACAUUCCAUCGGCUCCAAAACUUCUGGAAAAUCCCUAAAUUGGAGGCAACCUGAGAGAUUAAGCCUCUGCAGUUUUCUCAACUUGCAAAUGCUGCUUGGAAGAAUCUCAAAUUGUUUGCAGUUUCGCAGGUGCAAUUCAGCAAGUUCAAACAACCAUUCUAUUGAAGAGGGAAUCUCUCGUAUUGCUGUCCCAUUUAAAUACAGCUCCUUUAUAUUAUUUGAAACCUUUGGAAACUCCGUGAUACUUGAGCAACCAGAAAGAUCAAGUUUUUCAAGACAUACCAACUUAGAAACCGCACUCGGCAGAUUCUUCAUCCUUUUGCAGCCAACUAGAUCUAAGCAAAUGAGUUUACUUAGAUCACCAAUUGAAGAUGGCAGUUCUUCUAUUGCAGUUCCAUUCAAGUACAAGUAUCUAAUAUUCUCCGAAAAGACAGGAACCCUGCUGAUAGAUGAGCAGCCAGAGAUGUCGACGAUUCGAAGAGAUGUCAACAAAUUUAUAUUUUCUGGAAGAUUCACCAGGAGGUUGCAGUUCUUCAAAUUCAACGCAACAAGUCCACCGAGUUCCACAAUUGAUUGGGGAAGCUCGUCAACAGCAGUCUCAUUUAAAUUUAAAUAUGUCAGUUUCCUUGCAGUCUCGGGGCACUUCUUGAGAUUUGCGCAACCAGAAAGGUUCAGAGUCUCCAGACAACUUGAAUUAAUUCUACUGGGAAGAUUGAUUAGUCUUUUGCAGCCUCUCAAAUUUAAAUCAACAAGCUUGUCCAGAUGCUGUAUAGAUGAAGGAAACUUAACCAAACUUUUACAGAAUUGAAGAUUCAAUCUCUCAAGGUUUCUGGCCUUUGAAAGGUCUGGCAGGAAAGUUAUGUGCUCACAAUUGCUGAGGUUGACAUCUUUUAAAUUGACGAGAUUCUGAAGCAAAAUGAAAUCAACAGAAAGAAAUGACACUUACUUUCAAAGAAAGAACUGUGCAUGCAUAGAGUUAUUUUAGAAUACCUGGCCUUCUCUCCACAGUUGCUCAACCUUGCUAGAUGAUAGGUUAAGUUCAACAAGGUUCUGUGGACGAAAAUUGCAAGGCAAAGAUGUCAAAGGGUAGCCAUCCCAAUGGAGAUACCUCAACUCUUCAGAAAGAGACGCGAGGCCAUGAGGAAGGUGCACUCUGCAUUUAGCUCCAGCUUCAGAAUUAUAAAUUUUUAGCAGUCUAAGUUUAUACAUCCUUUCCAAGGCUGUAGAACUCAACUCAAUUUCUCUUAUUUUUGAAACAUCCAAGAAUAUCCCUUC